AAGAAACUUCGGUGAGGGCAGAGGAUUGAAUGCCUGAAAGAACCCUGGUCUGUUGGCAGUGUCAUGCAAAGUCCACCGCUGCAUGUGCUAUAGAGGGACAGUAACAGAGUCACUGACCAAUCGAAUGGGGUCUAAGCAGAGUGGACUAAGGGCUUGCCUACACUUAAAACACCGCAGCUAUGUUGCUGUAGCACUUCACCUUGAAACCCUUGUAAGCAGAACAUCAUGCUGGUACCUGAUCACUACAAUGAUCCCAUCAAAGAUGUUGUAUGGAUUUUUGAUGUAGCCAAAUGGACCAUACACGAGGACUUUCAGCAGCAUCUCCAGGGCAAAG
Molecule: non-coding RNA, 334 nt
Organism: Pelodiscus sinensis (Chinese soft-shelled turtle)
Lineage: Eukaryota; Metazoa; Chordata; Testudines; Trionychidae
Source: RefSeq, a predicted model, not a curated record